Long non-coding RNA from Oncorhynchus tshawytscha (Chinook salmon), 929 nucleotides. Lineage: Eukaryota; Metazoa; Chordata; Actinopteri; Salmoniformes; Salmonidae. The record is from Ensembl.
UUGACAUUUAAAAUUGUUAAGGUAAGGGUUACGGUUAGGUAAGGGUUAAGGUUAUGUUUAGGGUAAGGGUUAAGGUUCUAGGGUAGGGACGUCCCAAGGAUUCAGAAUAGCACUCCGUUGAACUGCUUCGAAACAUCUUCAUGGACUUUUGAAUUAAAUGGCAGUCUCGCAUAGUCGCUUCACUCCCGACAGCUCCACUAGAAUGCAACAAAGAGGUACCCCCUUACCAUCAGGUUCCCACAGCAACCACCUCUGAGGUCAACUGAAGUGUGCAAGUCUCUCUUGUACUAAGGAGUUGUGAAUGAGACUGCCAUUGCUCCGGUCCAGAACAAACCUCACUGGACACCUCAGGCAGAGGGAGACUUCCCCAUGAAUGGAGCCCCUGCACUCCAGGAGUCUUUGCUAAAACAGAGAGAGCGACCAGAAGACUACAGCCGGAACCAGCCCUUUGGCUUUCAAACUCAAUUCAACUUCAAAUAUCUUUACAAAUAACAGACUGCAAUCAUCUGAGAAAGAGAGUGAGGAAUAAGCAUCAGAGACACUAUUGAAGCCAGACUCUGGUCUGGCGGUAAGACACCCAUACACAGUGAGCCUGCCCCUGCUGUCCUCCGAUGGAGACCCCGGGUAGAGCAAGACGCUGCUGCAACGUUACAGUAGGUUAUGGAUUCUGACUGAUUGGACGAGUGUUGUGAUGCAACAUUCUCCCUCUGUAAGAAUGCAGUGAGCUCACACAUCACACAGAUGUUUUCAAUCAAUAUUUGUUGACACAAAGCACCAUUAGUUUACUGAUCACAUUUGCAUAAACAUUUUGCGAUUUUCUUAUUUACCUUGCAUGUUUUCUAAAUUGGUUUUUCAUACCGAGUUUACAUACAGUGGCCCUGGAAGUACAAACAUGUGUAGAACAUAAGUACUAUGGGGCCUAAGUACCA